This 1211-nucleotide long non-coding RNA is filed under the name Canis lupus familiaris (dog). RNAcentral describes it as "lncRNA (ENSCAFG00000056852.1)". Lineage: Eukaryota; Metazoa; Chordata; Mammalia; Carnivora; Canidae. The record is from RNAcentral.
CCACUGUGGUCGGCGUCCUCUGUCCCCGGGUCAGCACACGGGGCGUCCUCACUGUGGUCAGCGUCCCCAUCCCCCGGGGUCAGCACACCGGGUGUCCUCACUGUGGUCGGCAUCCUCCAUCCCUGGGUCAGCAUACAGGAUGUCCCCAGUGUGGUCGGGGACCUCCGUCCCCCAGGUCGGCACACGGGUGUCCCCCUGUGGUCGGCGUCCUCUGUCCCGGUCGCAUCAGUGUCCCCGGGUGGUCGGCGCCCUCCGUCCCCGGGUCAGCAUACAGGAAGUGUCCCCGGGUGGUGGGUCGGCGGGUUCCCCUUCCGUCCUCCCCCCCGGGUCAGCACACGGAAGUGUCCCCACUGUGGUCGGCGUCCUCUGUCCCCAGGUCGGCACUCAGGGUGUCCCCGGCGUGGUCGGCGUCCUCCGUCCCCCGGGUCAGCACACGGAAGUGUCCCCACUGUGGUCGGCGUCCUCUCUCCCCAGGUCGGCACUCAGGGUGUCCCCGGCGUGGUCGGCGUCCUCCGUCCCCCGGGUCAGCACACGGAAGUGUCCUCACUGUGGUCGGCGUCCUCUGUCCCCAGCUCAGCACUCAGGGUGUCCCCAGUAUGGUCGGCGUCCUCCGUCCCCCGCGUCAACACACGGAGGUGUCCUCACUGUGGUCCGCGUCCUCCGUCCCCAGGUCUGUGUGGUAGCCAGAGCUUCAGGUUCAGCAGAAUCCUUGCCGCACUGCUGGAAGCCAGGAUCCAAAAGGGUACCACACAAAUCACCUUGUAAAUCACCUAGAAAAUUGGUAAGUGUGGGAGCACUGUAGCUUUAUUUCUCAUUUACUCAUACUGUAAAGAUACGAGUAGAGAAUUGUGAAAAGAGAAAAUGGCCUUGAAAGGCAGUUCACUUGUGAAGGUUUUCUAUUUCAUAACUUGUUUCUACUUGAAACAGAAGAUCUUCAAGUUCAUGAGGUUCUAUGAAGUCUUUCGUAGAAUAGAGGCUCCUGCCUUCAGUUGUUCUCCUUUAACCUGCCAUCACUCGCAGUGGGAUAGAGUAUGGACUAACCCCUUUGUUUUUGAUGUUUAGUGGGUGUUUUCAUAAUGUUUAGUAUUUAUUCACCACCUGUGUUGACAUUUCUGGGGUCAAGAGAUUUAUUUUCUUACCUUUUGUUGAAUAGGAAUUUGGUAAAAUAAAGUAUGGAAUGAAAUUAAGAUGUUGAUAGUGUUUAUUUUUAG